Molecule: small RNA, 125 nt
Filed under: uncultured Fusobacterium sp.
Lineage: Bacteria; Fusobacteriati; Fusobacteriota; Fusobacteriia; Fusobacteriales; Fusobacteriaceae
Description: ydaO/yuaA leader
Rfam family: c-di-AMP riboswitch aptamer (ydaO/yuaA leader)
About the family: This family represents a conserved RNA structure found upstream of the ydaO and yuaA genes in Bacillus subtilis and related genes in other bacteria.
Source: RNAcentral
GCCGCUUAAUUUAUUUUUAAAUAAAGCGGGGGACCCAGAUUUUUGGGGCGAAUUUUUCCUAAAGGAAAAUAGGAUAACUCUUUCAGUCCGAGCCCGUCAGCUAACCUCGUCAGCGUUGAAUGAGA